GGCCGAUGGUUAAGGUUAAUAAAAUAAAUAUUGAUUUUAGCUAUAAAAGCAUAAUUUAAUGAUGUUCUGUCAAUGCCAUUUCAUUCUCGUUUCAUUUUUUCAUUUUUCAUGACGUCAUUUAGCCAUUUUUAUGACGUUACAAUGAUGUCCUGUAUAUUUAAGUGCCAGUCUGCCUAAGAAUCAGGCAGUGGUGAAAACAUGAUAAAAAUACCCACCCUAUUUGACAUUGAUUUCAGUUCAUAAUAUGUAGUUAUGCACAAAAAUAACAUUCAUUUCCAUUUUCUGUUCUGGUAAUAGAAGAUACAAUUUGGUUGAAAUGCACUAGAAUAAACAAAAAAAGGGGAGAUAACUCUGUAAUUUGCUAUCAUUCUAACCAAUUUUCUAACCAAGUUAUUUGAUAUUACCAGACGCACACAAACAAAAGACCAAUUAUUUUUAACUCAGGAUGAUGGUUAGUAUUAAAUAGCAUGAUUAGCUCGGUGGGUUUUUUCUAAUCAUGUUUUAAUUUUUACUUAAAUUGCCUAAUU
Molecule: long non-coding RNA, 527 nt
Filed under: Mytilus galloprovincialis (Mediterranean mussel)
Lineage: Eukaryota; Metazoa; Mollusca; Bivalvia; Mytilida; Mytilidae
Source: RNAcentral